This 561-nucleotide ribosomal RNA is filed under the name Colletotrichum gloeosporioides. Its description in RNAcentral is "eukaryotic LSU rRNA". The stretch from base 201 to 354 matches the Rfam family "5.8S ribosomal RNA". Lineage: Eukaryota; Fungi; Ascomycota; Sordariomycetes; Glomerellales; Glomerellaceae. The record is from RNAcentral.
CGUAGGUGAACCAGCGGAGGGAUCAUUACUGAGUUUACGCUCUACAACCCUUUGUGAACAUACCUACAACUGUUGCUUCGGCGGGUAGGGUCUCCGCGACCCUCCCGGCCUCCCGCCUCCGGGCGGGUCGGCGCCCGCCGGAGGAUAACCAAACUCUGAUUUAACGACGUUUCUUCUGAGUGGUACAAGCAAAUAAUCAAAACUUUUAACAACGGAUCUCUUGGUUCUGGCAUCGAUGAAGAACGCAGCGAAAUGCGAUAAGUAAUGUGAAUUGCAGAAUUCAGUGAAUCAUCGAAUCUUUGAACGCACAUUGCGCCCGCCAGCAUUCUGGCGGGCAUGCCUGUUCGAGCGUCAUUUCAACCCUCAAGCUCUGCUUGGUGUUGGGGCCCUACAGCCGAUGUAGGCCCUCAAAGGUAGUGGCGGACCCUCCCGGAGCCUCCUUUGCGUAGUAACUUUACGUCUCGCACUGGGAUCCGGAGGGACUCUUGCCGUAAAACCCCCCAAUUUUCCAAAGGUUGACCUCGGAUCAGGUAGGAAUACCCGCUGAACUUAAGCAUAUCA